RNAcentral lists this ribosomal RNA (1346 nucleotides) under uncultured bacterium. Its description in RNAcentral is "bacterial SSU rRNA". It matches the Rfam family "Bacterial small subunit ribosomal RNA", at positions 28 to 1381 of the family's 1533-position model. The record is from RNAcentral.
GACGAACGCUGGCGGCGUGCUUAACACAUGCAAGUCGAACGGAAAGGCCCUGCUUUUGUGGGGUGCUCGAGUGGCGAACGGGUGAGUAACACGUGAGUAACCUGCCCUUGACUUUGGGAUAACUUCAGGAAACUGGGGCUAAUACCGGAUAGGAGCUCCUGCUGCAUGGUGGGGGUUGGAAAGUUUCGGCGGUUGGGGAUGGACUCGCGGCUUAUCAGCUUGUUGGUGGGGUAGUGGCUUACCAAGGCUUUGACGGGUAGCCGGCCUGAGAGGGUGACCGGCCACAUUGGGACUGAGAUACGGCCCAGACUCCUACGGGAGGCAGCAGUGGGGAAUAUUGCACAAUGGGCGGAAGCCUGAUGCAGCAACGCCGCGUGCGGGAUGACGGCCUUCGGGUUGUAAACCGCUUUCGCCUGUGACGAAGCGUGAGUGACGGUAAUGGGUAAAGAAGCACCGGCUAACUACGUGCCAGCAGCCGCGGUGAUACGUAGGGUGCGAGCGUUGUCCGGAUUUAUUGGGCGUAAAGGGCUCGUAGGUGGUUGAUCGCGUCGGAAGUGUAAUCUUGGGGCUUAACCCUGAGCGUGCUUUCGAUACGGGUUGACUUGAGGAAGGUAGGGGAGAAUGGAAUUCCUGGUGGAGCGGUGGAAUGCGCAGAUAUCAGGAGGAACACCAGUGGCGAAGGCGGUUCUCUGGGCCUUUCCUGACGCUGAGGAGCGAAAGCGUGGGGAGCGAACAGGCUUAGAUACCCUGGUAGUCCACGCUGUAAACGGUGGGUACUAGGUGUGGGGUCCAUUCCACGGGUUCCGUGCCGUAGCUAACGCUUUAAGUACCCCGCCUGGGGAGUACGGCCGCAAGGCUAAAACUCAAAGGAAUUGACGGGGCCCCGCACAAGCGGCGGAGCAUGCGGAUUAAUUCGAUGCAACGCGUAGAACCUUACCUGGGUUUGACGUGGAUCGGGAGCGCUCAGAGAUGGGUGUGCCUCUUUUGGGGUCGGUUCACAGGUGGUGCAUGGCUGUCGUCAGCUCGUGUCGUGAGAUGUUGGGUUAAGUCCCGCAACGAGCGCAACCCUUGUUCACUGUUGCCAGCACGUUAUGGUGGGGACUCAGUGGAGACCGCCGGGGUCAACUCGGAGGAAGGUGGGGAUGACGUCAAGUCAUCAUGCCCCUUAUGUCCAGGGCUUCACGCAUGCUACAAUGGCUGGUACAGAGAGUGGCGAGCCUGUGAGGGUGAGCGAAUCUCGGAAAGCCGGUCUCAGUUCGGAUUGGGGUCUGCAACUCGACCUCAUGAAGUCGGAGUCGCUAGUAAUCGCAGAUCAGCAACGCUGUGGUGAAUACGUUCCCGGGGCU